UAACAUAAAGAUGUGAAGGGCAGUGGCUGGUGGCUGUGUGCUGUUUCUGUUGUUUGUAAACAUGAAUAGCUUCAUAAUGUGUUUAUGUAUUGUGUUCCAAGCUGUUUGCAAAAAUGACACGUAUUUACAGGAGCUGGCUUUUGGAAUAUUCUGUGGUGAAAGAUUUGUAAUUAAGGCAGUUACGAACACUGUAUUUCAUAAGAGGGACAUGCGCUGAAACUGUUGUCUGAAGACAUCCCGAGCUUGGUACACUGCAGAGCCUUGGUAUUGUGUUUGCACUUUGGGAAUUUCGGUAGAUUCUUUGGCACAUACCUGGGAAAGAGUAA
Long non-coding RNA from Schistocerca piceifrons (Central American locust), 326 nucleotides. RefSeq lists it as uncharacterized. The transcript is spliced from 2 exons. NCBI's taxonomy places the organism in Eukaryota, Metazoa, Arthropoda, Insecta, Orthoptera, Acrididae. The record is from RefSeq and is a predicted model, not a curated record.